AUUGAACGCUGGCGGCAGGCUUAACACAUGCAAGUCAAGCGGUAACAGGGGUAGCUUGCUACCCGCUGACGAGCGGCGGACGGGUGAGUAAUGCUUAGGAAUCUGCCCAGUAGUGGGGGAUAGCCCGAGGAAACUCGGGCUAAUACCGCAUACGCCCUACGGGGGAAAGCGGGGGAUCUUCGGACCUCGCGCUAUUGGAUGAGCCUGCGUUGGAUUAGCUAGUUGGUAGGGUAAAGGCCUACCAAGGCGACGAUCCAUAGCUGGUCUGAGAGGACGAUCAGCCACACUGGUACUGAGACACGGACCAGACUCCUACGAGAGGCAGCAGUGGGGAAUUUUGGACAAUGGGCGAAAGCCUGAUCCAGCAAUGCCGCGUGAGCGAAGAAGGCCUUCGGGUUGUAAAGCUCUUUCAGUCGAGAAGAAAAGGUUGUGACUAAUAAUCACAACUUAUGACGGUACCGACAGAAGAAGCACCGGCUAACUACGUGCCAGCAGCCGCGGUAAUACGUAGGGUGCAAGCGUUAAUCGGAAUUACUGGGCGUAAAGGGUGCGCAGGCGGCUUUGUAAGUCAGAUGUGAAAUCCCGGGCUUAACCUGGGAAUUGCGUUUGAAACUACAAAGCUAGAGUGUAGCAGAGGGGGGUGGACUUCCAUGU
RNAcentral lists this ribosomal RNA (654 nucleotides) under uncultured Nitrosomonas sp. Its description in RNAcentral is "bacterial SSU rRNA". It matches the Rfam family "Bacterial small subunit ribosomal RNA", at positions 28 to 674 of the family's 1533-position model. The record is from RNAcentral. Lineage: Bacteria; Pseudomonadati; Pseudomonadota; Betaproteobacteria; Nitrosomonadales; Nitrosomonadaceae.